UGCGUAGGGUGCGAGCGUUAAUCGGAAUUACUGGGCGUAAAGUGUGCGCAGGCGGCCGCGCAAGUCGAGUGUGAAAGCCCCGAGCUUAACUUGGGAACUGCGUUGGAAACUACGAGGCUAGAGUGCGGCAGAGGGGGGUGGAAUUCCACGUGUAGCAGUGAAAUGCGUAGAGAUGCGGAGGAACACCGAUGGCGAAGGCAGCCCCCUGGGCCAACACUGACGCUCAGGCACGAAAGCGUGGGGAGCAAACAGG
This 253-nucleotide ribosomal RNA is filed under the name uncultured prokaryote. RNAcentral describes it as "partial 16S ribosomal RNA". It matches the Rfam family "Bacterial small subunit ribosomal RNA", at positions 524 to 776 of the family's 1533-position model. The record is from RNAcentral.